CUGCCAGACUCCUACGGGAGGCAGCAGUGGGGAAUAUUGCACAAUGGGGGAAACCCUGAUGCAGCAACGCCGCGUGAAGGAAGACGGUUUUCGGAUUGUAAACUUCUGUUCUUAGUGAAGAAGAAUGACGGUAGCUAAGGAGCAAGCCACGGCUAACUACGUGCCAGCAGCCGCGGUAAUACGUAUGGUGCACGCGUUAUCCGGAUUUACUGGGUGUAAAGGGAGCGCAGGCGGCACGGCAAGCCUGAUGUGAAAGCCCGAGGCCCAACCCCGGGACUGCUCUUGGAACUGCAUGGCUGGAGUACAGGAGGGGCAGGCGGAAUUCCUAGUGUAGCGGUGAAAUGCGUAGAUAUUAGGAGGAACACCGGUGGCGAAGGCGGCCUGCUGGACUGUGACUGACGUUGAGGCCCGAAGGCGUGGGGAGCAAACAGGAUUAGAUACCCUAGUA
Molecule: ribosomal RNA, 448 nt
Filed under: uncultured bacterium
Lineage: Bacteria
Description: bacterial SSU rRNA
Rfam family: Bacterial small subunit ribosomal RNA
Source: RNAcentral